UGGCUCUCGCAUCGAUGAAGAACGCAGCGAAAUGCGAUAAGUAAUGUGAAUUGCAGAAUUCAGUGAAUCAUCGAAUCUUUGAACGCACCUUGCGCUCCCUGGUAUUCCGGGGAGCACGCCUGUUCGAGUGUUAUGAAACUAUCAAACAAAGCUGGUUUUAUUACUGGUUUUGGUUGGAUUUGAACUUUGCUGCUAAAUUCUGUUUUAUGAAUGGAGUAGCUGGUUUUAAAAAUAUUAGCUUGGUCAAUCAAGUCUGGUUCUACUUAGCGUAAUAAAUAUUCGUUAAGGACAUUCCUUUUGGGAUGGCCAGAGGCGCGUUGCCUGCUUCUAAUCGUCUUCGGACAAACAUUUAUUCAUAUCUGACCUCGAAUCAGGUGGGACUACCCGCUGA
This 391-nucleotide unclassified non-coding RNA is filed under the name uncultured fungus. Its description in RNAcentral is "partial contains 5.8S ribosomal RNA and internal transcribed spacer 2". The stretch from base 1 to 133 matches the Rfam family "5.8S ribosomal RNA", at positions 22 to 154 of the family's 154-position model. The record is from RNAcentral. Lineage: Eukaryota; Fungi.